This 490-nucleotide ribosomal RNA is filed under the name uncultured bacterium. RNAcentral's name for it is "partial 16S ribosomal RNA". It matches the Rfam family "Bacterial small subunit ribosomal RNA", at positions 30 to 507 of the family's 1533-position model. The record is from RNAcentral.
AUUGAACGCUGGCGGCAGGCCUAACACAUGCAAGUCGAACGGUAACAGGGAUCAGCUUGCUGAUUCGCUGACGAGUGGCGGACGGGUGAGGAAUGUCUGGGAAACUGCCUGAUGGAGGGGGAUAACUACUGGAAACGGUAGCUAAUACCGCAUAACGUCGCAAGACCAAAGAGGGGGACCUUCGGGCCUCUUGCCAUCGGAUGUGCCCAGAUGGGAUUAGCUAGUAGGUGGGGUAACGGCUCACCUAGGCGACGAUCCCUAGCUGGUCUGAGAGGAUGACCAGCCACACUGGAACUGAGACACGGUCCAGACUCCUACGGGAGGCAGCAGUGGGGAAUAUUGCACAAUGGGCGCAAGCCUGAUGCAGCCAUGCCGCGUGUAUGAAGAAGGCCUUCGGGUUGUAAAGUACUUUCAGCGGGGAGGAAGGGAGUAAAGUUAAUACCUUUGCUCAUUGACGUUACCCGCAGAAGAAGCACCGGCUAACUCCGUG